CAGCAGGCGCGAAAACUUUACAAUGCGGGAAACCGUGAUAAGGGGACACCGAGUGCCAGCAUCAUAUGCUGGCUGUCCAGGUGUGUAAAAUACACCUGUCAGCAAGGGCCGGGCAAGACCGGUGCCAGCCGCCGCGGUAACACCGGCGGCCCGAGUGGUGAUCGUGAUUAUUGGGUCUAAAGGGUCCGUAGCCGGUUUGGUCAGUCCUCCGGGAAAUCUGACGGCUCAACCGUUAGGCUUUCGGGGGAUACUGCCAGGCUUGGAACCGGGAGAGGUAAGAGGUACUACAGGGGUAGGAGUGAAAUCUUGUAAUCCCUGUGAGACCACCUGUGGCGAAGGCGUCUUACCAGAACGGGUUCGACGGUGAGGGACGAAAGCUGGGGGCACGAACCGGAUUAGAUACCCGGGUAGUCCCAGCCGUAAACGAUGCUCGCUAGGUGUCAGGCAUGGCGCGACCGUGUCUGGUGCCGCAGGGAAGCCGUGAAGCGAGCCACCUGGGAAGUACGGCCGCAAGGCUGAAACUUAAAGGAAUUGGCGGGGGAGCACAAGGGCGAAUNG
RNAcentral lists this ribosomal RNA (558 nucleotides) under uncultured archaeon. RNAcentral's name for it is "bacterial SSU rRNA". It matches the Rfam family "Archaeal small subunit ribosomal RNA", at positions 333 to 891 of the family's 1478-position model. The record is from RNAcentral.